Molecule: microRNA, 25 nt
Filed under: Canis lupus familiaris (dog)
Lineage: Eukaryota; Metazoa; Chordata; Mammalia; Carnivora; Canidae
Description: cfa-miR-8809
Source: miRBase by way of RNAcentral
UCAUUGGCUGAGCCCGGAACCGGGG